Molecule: ribosomal RNA, 253 nt
Filed under: uncultured bacterium
Lineage: Bacteria
Description: partial 16S ribosomal RNA
Rfam family: Bacterial small subunit ribosomal RNA
Source: RNAcentral
UACGAAGGGUGCAAACGUUGCUCGGAAUUAUUGGGCGUAAAGCGCACGUAGGCGGCUUAGCAAGUCGGAUGUGAAAUCCCUCGGCUCAACCAAGGAAGUGCAUCCGAAACUGCUGAGCUUGAGUACGAAAGAGGAUCGCGGAAUUCCCGGUGUAGAGGUGAAAUUCGUAGAUAUCGUAAGGAAGACCAGUGGCGAAGGCGGGUCUCUGGACAGUUCCUGACGCUGAGGCACGAAGGCCAGGGGAGCAAACGGG